UACGUAGGGUGCGAGCGUUGUCCGGAAUUACUGGGCGUAAAGAGCUCGUAGGUGGUUUGUCGCGUCGUCUGUGAAAUUCCGGGGCUUAACUCCGGGCAUGCAGGCGAUACGGGCAUAACUUGAGUACUGUAGGGGAGACUGGAAUUCCUGGUGUAGCGGUGAAAUGCGCAGAUAUCAGGAGGAACACCGGUGGCGAAGGCGGGUCUCUGGGCAGUAACUGACGCUGAGGAGCGAAAGCAUGGGUAGCGAACAGGAUUAGAUACCCUGGUAGUCCAUGCCGUAAACGGUGGGCGCUAGGUGUAGGGGUCUUCCACGACUUCUGUGCCGUAGCUAACGCAUUAAGCGCCCCGCCUGGGGAGUACGGCCGCAAGGCUAAAACUCAAAGGAAUUGACGGGG
This 397-nucleotide ribosomal RNA is filed under the name uncultured bacterium. RNAcentral's name for it is "partial 16S ribosomal RNA". It matches the Rfam family "Bacterial small subunit ribosomal RNA", at positions 524 to 918 of the family's 1533-position model. The record is from RNAcentral.